GUGGUAUGAGAUGGACCCCGCGUCUGAUUAGCCAGUUGGCAGGGUAACGGCCUACCAAAGCGACGAUCAGUAGCCGACCUGAGAGGGUGACCGGCCACAUUGGGACUGAGACAUGGCCCAAACUCCUACGGGAGGCAGCAGUGGGGAAUAUUGCACAAUGGGGGAAACCCUGAUGCAGCGACGCCGCGUGAGCGAAGAAGUAUUUCGGUAUGUAAAGCUCUAUCAGCAGGGAAGAAGAUGACGGUACCUGACUAAGAAGCACCGGCUAAAUACGUGCCAGCAGCCGCGGUAAUACGUAUGGUGCAAGCGUUAUCCGGAUUUACUGGGUGUAAAGGGAGCGCAGGCGGUGCGGCAAGUCUGAUGUGAAAGCCCGGGGCUCAACCCCGGUACUGCAUUGGAAACUGUCGUACUAGAGUGUCGGAGGGGUAAGUGGAAUUCCCAGUGUAGCGGUGAAAUGCGUAGAUAUUAGGAGGAACACCAGUGGCGAAGGCGGCUUACUGGACGAUAACUGACGCUGAGGCUCGAAAGCGUGGGGAGCAAACAAAAUUAGAUACCCUGGUAGUCCACGCCGUAAACGAGGAAUACUAGGUGUCGGGGAGCAUUGCUCUUCGGUGCCGCAGCAAACGCAAUAAGUAUUCCACCUGGGGAGUACGUUCGCAAGAAUGAAACUCAAAGGAAUUGACGGGGACCCGCACAAGCGGUGGAGCAUGUGGUUUAAUUUGAAGCAACGCGAAGAACCUUACCAAGUCUUGACAUCCCGAUGACAAAGUAUGUAAUGUACUUUCUCUUCGGAGCAUCGGUGACAGGUGGUGCAUGGUUGUCGUCAGCUCGUGUCGUGAGAUGUUGGGUUAAGUCCCGCAACGAGCGCAACCCCUGCUCUUAGUAGCCAGCGGUUCGGCCGGGCACUCUAGGGAGACUGCCAGGGAUAACCUGGAGGAAGGCGGGGAUGACGUCAAAUCAUCAUGCCCCCUAUGACUUGGGCUACACACGUGCUACAAUGGCGUAAACAAAGGGAAGCGGAGCCGUGAGGCCGAGCAAAUCUCAAAAAUAACGUCUCAGUUCGGACUGUAGUCUGCAACCCGACUACACGAAGCUGGAAUCGCUAGUAAUCGCAGAUCAGAAUGCUGCGGUGAAUAAAAUCCCGGGUCUUGCACU
This 1155-nucleotide ribosomal RNA is filed under the name uncultured bacterium. RNAcentral's name for it is "bacterial SSU rRNA". It matches the Rfam family "Bacterial small subunit ribosomal RNA", at positions 215 to 1387 of the family's 1533-position model. The record is from RNAcentral.